GAUGAACGCUGGCGGCGUGCCUAAUACAUGCCAGUCGAGCGAACAGACGAGGAGCUUGCUCCUCUGACGUUAGCGGCGGACGGGUGAGUAACACGUGGAUAACCUACCUAUAAGACUGGGAUAACUUCGGGAAACCGGAGCUAAUACCGGAUAAUAUAUUGAACCGCAUGGUUCAAUAGUGAAAGACAGUUUUGCUGUCACUUAUAGAUGGAUCCGCGCCGCAUUAGCUAGUUGGUAAGGUAACGGCUUACCAAGGCAACGAUGCGUAGCCGACCUGAGAGGGUGAUCGGCCACACUGGAACUGAGACACGGUCCAGACUCCUACGGGAGGCAGCAGUAGGGAAUCUUCCGCAAUGGGCGAAAGCCUGACGGAGCAACGCCGCGUGAGUGAUGAAGGUCUUCGGAUCGUAAAACUCUGUUAUUAGGGAAGAACAAAUGUGUAAGUAACUAUGCACGUCUUGACGGUACCUAAUCAGAAAGCCACGGCUAACUACGUG
This 497-nucleotide ribosomal RNA is filed under the name uncultured bacterium. Its description in RNAcentral is "partial 16S ribosomal RNA". It matches the Rfam family "Bacterial small subunit ribosomal RNA", at positions 28 to 507 of the family's 1533-position model. The record is from RNAcentral.